Molecule: long non-coding RNA, 205 nt
Filed under: Lathyrus oleraceus (garden pea)
Lineage: Eukaryota; Viridiplantae; Streptophyta; Magnoliopsida; Fabales; Fabaceae
Description: Pisum sativum (pea) long non-coding RNA (PSAT_LNC009656)
Source: RNAcentral
UGAAAGUUGUGAGCGGUUCACGGCGGAUGUCGUUGGUUCGUGGCCGGAGAAGAAUGAAGGAUAGGUUUUUUCAUGGAUUUGUGAUGGCACGGUGGAAAAGAAUGGAGGUAACGACGGUUGGGGUUUGCCGGCGAGGUUGUUGUGAGGCAAAGGAAGGUGGGUUUCCUGCGGCGUGAGGGAGAAGAUGAUGUUGAAGAUGGUGAUG